AAGUGGUGAAGGAGAAAGAGGCAAACAUCGGUUAUCAAGAGAACGGUGAAGGAGCAUAAGUUGUACUCCAAUCACCCCCAGCCCUGCAACAGAAGUGAAAUGUUCCAAUUAUUUCCAUGUGUGAUCAGUCAAUUCACGACAGAGCUUUAUGCUACCAACCUGUGGCUAACCAAAUUAGCUGCGAAAGUUAUUGGCUGAUCACCUCGUCCAAUGCCCUGUUCUUGUACGAAAAUUGGCACCCUUCGGCCUUUAAAAUUCAUGUGAGAGAACUGCUCCCCGAAACCGUAGAAUUUCUCACUUUUUUCACUGGAAUAAGUGAGAAAAAUCCUAUUGAAUUCUGUGGACUCUGGAGGCUUCAUUCCAACUAAUUCGUCCUCAGCAGAGGAAACCGCAACAUGGUUUCUUGGCCUUGGAAAGAACCAACACCAUCCGAGUUUCUUCUUCCGAAGCUGGCCCAGCUUCUGCCUCAUGACCCGACGCCUUCUCAGACCAGCCGGAGAAAUACUCUGGCUGUGGCCGAAGUUGGGUUUGCCCAGCCUCACCUGAAACCCAACUUGGUUACUGCUUUUCUGAUCAAAUAACACCCAGUAUCUUGCAUAAGUGCAAUCCUUUGUCAGCGUCAUGUUCUUACUCAAGGUGGAGUCUUGAGGCUGCUUCUUUUUCUUACUGAAGAUCCUGCCACUUAUUAUCAGGACAGGAAAGUCUUUUUUUUUCACAUCAAUGUGAUCAAAUCCUACACAUCCCAAAGGGAAAUCAGGAUCGGUGGCGUCCAAGAAACGGUCAAAAUGAUCGAUCACCCUUAUGUCUUCGACGGUCUGAUGAUCACAGACCAAUCGGACUUCCCUGUUCUUGACAACAAAUGAUCCUCUGCUUUCUUGAAUCUCUGUUUCGGCCAGAGCCGCAGAAACAAAGGCUUGUCCGGGGAUGGUGGACCAUAAAGACUUGUCAGGCUGCGAUCGGUGAGAAACCGAGAGAAGCCCGCCAUUCCUUGACUGCCAAGUGAGCUGAAAAUCUUUCCCAAUUGGGAAGAGCUGGUGCGACGUCAAUGUUAGCGACUCACAGAACAGAGUCCCCUGAAUGAAAGGCAGAGACUUUGGAGCAGAAGGGAAGGGGUUGUUGAGGUGCCUGUGGUGCUUCUUGGUGAUUUUGAGGCUUGACAUUUUCUAGGGAAGUCGAACAAACAGGAUAUAGAAUCGAUGGAUUCUCGAGUGCUUAUUUAUACAGACUAGGGAAGGAAAAUUCAACCAAGAUUCGUAUUUUCAGUUGCCGAGCGAAUUUUUAUUUUAUAUGGGAUUUUGUCCGAUCUUCUUUUCUUGGUUCCACAGUGGGGACAAAAGUGCCUUCUCUGGAUGUGGAUGAGCUCUUAGAGACGAAAGCGAAAAAGUCGAUUUUGACUCUGGGGCGCACGCCAGUAAAUGCGCCAGCUGACUUUCCUCUUGAAUGGCUCUCUCUGCCCCGAAUUUACUUGCAAUUAUUCCCCUGCCUGUUUUCAUUCUUUGCCCCAGCUGGUGGACUCUUGAUGCUAGAGAGAGACAGAUAGACAGCUAGACAGACAGACAGACAUCGUCGUCUCUGUGGAGGAUGAAUGGAUUGGGAUGGUUGAUCUUAUGCCUUAAAUUUUACCGAGAAAAUGAUGCUGGAGAUGCUAAAUGGGUGUCUGUGGAACGACGCUGCAGGCUUUUGUAGGUGUUUGAACAGAACAUAUUUUGUGUUGAGUAAAGGGUGAAGGGUCUAUCAAUUAGCAAAUCGAGAGUUAUUCCUUCUCCGAUAUUCCAUGAGAAAAGCCGAAAUUGCGUGCAGGGUCUCUCUCGUCCACAAGUUUAGAUUUUCUUGGUGCCGCCGACCACCUGCACCGAUAACUCCUUGUCUUAUCUCCAGCGUCGGACAUUGGAUCUAAUGCUUAUGUUUAAGGCAAUCGUAAUAGCAAAAAUCCUGAUUUUCAUGGAGGAGAUAGCUGGGGGAGGUUCACAGGCCACCUCGUUUCUUGGGAAAAUCAAGAAUUCUCUGGAAAUCUCAUAUUUACCAAUGCAUCAGCGGACUGUGACCUGGAAUUGUGCUUGGACCUGGUCGGCCUGUGGACUGUCGAAAUGGCCUGCAGAAACGCGUUCACUAGAAGGUCAAACGGAGGUUGCGAUUGUAAAGCAACUGAAGAGGCCUUUUCUAGUGUUAGGUCAUAUUCAUAUUCUAGAAAGUUAAUUUCUAAUGAGUCUUGGUUAAAGGUGAGCGAUUUCAGAUUCCGUACAAAUUUUAACUAGAACCUAAAACUUAUUAUGCAUACUCUGGAACUUGAAACUUAUCAUGUCACAAGUUCCAGGGUCGGUUUCAAGUUUUACCCAGGUUCAUCUAUAAUAUUAAUUGAACGAGCAGUGAAUCAUUAUUUUUAAUGAUCA
This is a long non-coding RNA of Syzygium oleosum, 2390 nucleotides long. RefSeq lists it as uncharacterized. The record is from RefSeq and is a predicted model, not a curated record. The transcript has 2 exons. NCBI's taxonomy places the organism in Eukaryota, Viridiplantae, Streptophyta, Magnoliopsida, Myrtales, Myrtaceae.